GAACGAGAACGUGGAUCACUCAUGAGUAAAGUGGCGAUCGUGGUGAGUAACACGUGACUAACCUACCCUCGAGUGGGGAAUAACCUCGGGACAACGGGGCUAAUACCGCAUAACAUCUUCGGAUCAAAGGAUCAAUCCGCUGGAGGAGGGGGUCGCGGCCGAUUAGCUAGUUGGCGGGGUAACGGCCCACCAAGGCCAUGAUCGGUAGCCGGCCUGAGAGGGCGCACGGCCACACUGGAACUGAAACACGGUCCAGACUCCUACGGGAGGCAUCAGUGGGGAAUUUUGCGCAAUGGGGGAAAUCCUGACUCAGCAACGCCGCGUGGAGGAUGAAGCCCCUUGGGGUGUAAACUCCUUUCGAUCGGGACGAUUAUGACUGUACCGGAUGACUAAGCACCGGCUAACUCUGUGCCAGCAGCCGCGGUAAU
Molecule: ribosomal RNA, 428 nt
Filed under: uncultured bacterium
Lineage: Bacteria
Description: bacterial SSU rRNA
Rfam family: Bacterial small subunit ribosomal RNA
Source: RNAcentral